This 313-nucleotide unclassified non-coding RNA is filed under the name uncultured fungus. Its description in RNAcentral is "sequence contains ITS1". The stretch from base 1 to 105 matches the Rfam family "5.8S ribosomal RNA", at positions 50 to 154 of the family's 154-position model. The record is from RNAcentral. Lineage: Eukaryota; Fungi.
GAAAUGCGAUAAGUAAUGUGAAUUGCAGAAUUCAGUGAAUCAUCGAAUCUUUGAACGCACAUUGCGCCCAUUAGUAUUCUAGUGGGCAUGCCUGUUCGAGCGUCAUUUCAACCCUUAAGCCUAGCUUAGUGUUGGGAGACUGCCUAAUACGCAGCUCCUCAAAACCAGUGGCGGAGUCGGUUCGUGCUCUGAGCGUAGUAAUUCUUUAUCUCGCUUCUGCAAGCCGGACUGGCAACAGCCAUAAACCGCACCCUUCGGGGGCACUUUUUUAAUGGUUGACCUCGGAUCAGGUAGGAAUACCCGCUGAACUUAA